RNAcentral lists this ribosomal RNA (934 nucleotides) under Fomitopsis serialis. RNAcentral's name for it is "LSU rRNA". It matches the Rfam family "Eukaryotic large subunit ribosomal RNA", at positions 35 to 955 of the family's 3401-position model. The record is from RNAcentral. Lineage: Eukaryota; Fungi; Basidiomycota; Agaricomycetes; Polyporales; Fomitopsidaceae.
UAAGCAUAUCAAUAAGCGGAGGAAAAGAAACUAACAAGGAUUCCCCUAGUAACUGCGAGUGAAGCGGGAAAAGCUCAAAUUUAAAAUCUGGCGGUCUUCGGCCGUCCGAGUUGUAGUCUGGAGAAGUGCUUUCCGCGCUGGACCGUGUACAAGUCUCUUGGAACAGAGCGUCAUAGAGGGUGAGAAUCCCGUCUUUGACACGGACUACCAGUGCUUUGUGAUGCGCUCUCAAAGAGUCGAGUUGUUUGGGAAUGCAGCUCAAAAUGGGUGGUAAAUUCCAUCUAAAGCUAAAUAUUGGCGAGAGACCGAUAGCGAACAAGUACCGUGAGGGAAAGAUGAAAAGCACUUUGGAAAGAGAGUUAAACAGUACGUGAAAUUGCUGAAAGGGAAACGAUUGAAGUCAGUCGCGUUAGCCAGGACUCAGCCUUGUUUUUACUUGGUGCAUUUUCUGGUUGACGGGCCAGCAUCGAUUUUGACCGCCGGAAAAAGAUUGGGGGAAUGUGGCACCUUCGGGUGUGUUAUAGCCCUCAGUCACAUACGGCGAUUGGGAUCGAGGACCGCAGCACGCCUUUAUGGCCGGGGUUCGCCCACGUUCGUGCUUAGGAUGCUGGCGUAAUGGCUUUAAACGACCCGUCUUGAAACACGGACCAAGGAGUCUAACAUGCCUGCGAGUGUUUGGGUGGAAAACCCGAGCGCGUAAUGAAAGUGAAAGUUGAGAUCCCUGUCGCGGGGAGCAUCGACGCCCGGACUUGAACUUCGGUGAUAGAUCUGCGGUAGAGCAUGUAUGUUGGGACCCGAAAGAUGGUGAACUAUGCCUGAAUAGGGUGAAGCCAGAGGAAACUCUGGUGGAGGCUCGUAGCGAUUCUGACGUGCAAAUCGAUCGUCAAAUUUGGGUAUAGGGGCGAAAGACUAAUCGAACCAUCUAGUAGCUGGU